UCCGACUAUGUUUAUAUGUACUUCGUUGUCUUGGAUGAAGUCUGUUUCGAGAUUUUUGGGGGUGUUUUCUGAGACCUCAUGGUCGAUGAAGAUUCCGACCUAUCGGACACCUUUCUGAGUUUUUCAUCGUGAUAUCGGAGUGUAUUUUCUUCACUCGAACGUUCUGGGAGAUUAUCUGAUGAUUUUUGGGUGACCUAUCGGCUUCUAGGGUUUCUGGCGGUUUAACCUAAAGUUUUACUGCUAUCCAGAAACGCUCCUCCUUCUCUCUACUUUCUCUCUCUACAUUCUUCAUCAUUUUUCGGUUUAAUCUCGAUGUUAACAUGGUAUCAAAGCCUAGACGACGAUCCGACUAUGUUUAUAUGUACUUCGUUUUCUUGGAUGAAGUCUGUUUCGAGAUUUUUUGGGGGUGUUUUCUGAGACCUCAUGGUCGAUGAAGAUUCCGACCUAUCGGACACCUUUCUGAGUUUUUCAUCGUGAUAUCGGAGUGUAUUUUCUUCUCCUGAACGUUCUGGAAGAUUUUCUGAUGAUUUUUGGUUGAUUUUUGGGUGACCUAUCGGCUUCUAGGGUUUCUGGUGGUUUAACCUGAAGUUUUACUGCUAUUCGGUGGCUCGAUUAUCACUCAGAGGAUGUUUUGGGUGACUUUC
RNAcentral lists this long non-coding RNA (644 nucleotides) under Nicotiana benthamiana. Its description in RNAcentral is "long non-coding RNA (NBEN_LNC015601)". The record is from RNAcentral. Lineage: Eukaryota; Viridiplantae; Streptophyta; Magnoliopsida; Solanales; Solanaceae.